This 964-nucleotide ribosomal RNA is filed under the name Alistipes finegoldii. RNAcentral describes it as "bacterial SSU rRNA". It matches the Rfam family "Bacterial small subunit ribosomal RNA", at positions 578 to 1533 of the family's 1533-position model. Lineage: Bacteria; Pseudomonadati; Bacteroidota; Bacteroidia; Bacteroidales; Rikenellaceae. The record is from RNAcentral.
GUUUCGUAAGUCGUGUGUGAAAGGCAGGGGCUCAACCCCUGGAUUGCACAUGAUACUGCGAGACUAGAGUAAUGGAGGGGGAACCGGAAUUCUCGGUGUAGCAGUGAAAUGCGUAGAUAUCGAGAGGAACACUCGUGGCGAAGGCGGGUUCCUGGACAUUAACUGACGCUGAGGCACGAAGGCCAGGGGAGCGAAAGGGAUUAGAUACCCCUGUAGUCCUGGCAGUAAACGGUGCACGCUUGGUGUGCGGGGAAUCGACCCCCUGCGUGCCGGAGCUAACGCGUUAAGCGUGCCGCCUGGGGAGUACGGUCGCAAGAUUAAAACUCAAAGAAAUUGACGGGGACCCGCACAAGCGGUGGAGUAUGUGGCUUAAUUCGAUGCAACGCGAAGAACCUUACCUGGGCUUGACAUGUAAUGAACAACAUGUGAAAGCAUGCGACUCUUCGGAGGCGUUACACAGGUGCUGCAUGGCCGUCGUCAGCUCGUGUCGUGAGAUGUUUGGUUAAGUCCAGCAACGAGCGCAACCCCUGUUGCCAGUUACCAGCACGUCAAGGUGGGGACUCUGGCGAGACUGCCCAGAUCAACUGGGAGGAAGGUGGGGACGACGUCAGGUCAGUAUGGCCCUUAUGCCCAGGGCUGCACACGUACUACAAUGCCCAGUACAGAGGGGGCCGAAGCCGCGAGGCGGAGGAAAUCCUGAAAACUGGGCCCAGUUCGGACUGUAGGCUGCAACCCGCCUACACGAAGCCGGAAUCGCUAGUAAUGGCGCAUCAGCUACGGCGCCGUGAAUACGUUCCCGGGUCUUGUACACACCGCCCGUCACAUCAUGGAAGCCGGUCGCACCCGAAGUAUCUGAAGCCAACCGCAAGGAGGCAGGGUCCUAAGGUGAGACUGGUAACUGGGAUGAAGUCGUAACAAGGUAGCCGUAGGGGAACCUGCGGCUGGAUCACCUCCUUUCUAUGGA